This 497-nucleotide ribosomal RNA is filed under the name uncultured bacterium. RNAcentral's name for it is "partial 16S ribosomal RNA". It matches the Rfam family "Bacterial small subunit ribosomal RNA", at positions 28 to 507 of the family's 1533-position model. The record is from RNAcentral.
GAUGAACGCUGGCGGCGUGCCUAAUACAUGCAAGUCGAGCGAACAGAUAAGGAGCUUGCUCCUUUGACGUUAGCGGCGGACGGGUGAGUAACACGUGGGUAACCUACCUAUAAGACUGGGAUAACUUCGGGAAACCGGAGCUAAUACCGGAUAACAUUUGGAACCGCAUGGUUCUAAAGUGAAAGAUGGUUUUGCUAUCACUUAUAGAUGGACCCGCGCCGUAUUAGCUAGCUGGUAAGGUAACGGCUUACCAAGGCGACGAUACGUAGCCGACCUGAGAGGGUGAUCGGCCACACUGGAACUGAGACACGGUCCAGACUCCUACGGGAGGCAGCAGUAGGGAAUCUUCCGCAAUGGGCGAAAGCCUGACGGAGCAACGCCGCGUGAGUGAUGAAGGGUUUCGGCUCGUAAAACUCUGUUAUUAGGGAAGAACAAAUGUGUAAGUAACUGUGCACGUCUUGACGGUACCUAAUCAGAAAGCCACGGCUAACUACGUG